UACGGGGGGGGCAAGCGUUGUUCGGAAUUACUGGGCGUAAAGGGCUCGUAGGCGGCCAACUAAGUCCGACGUGAAAUCCCCGGGCUUAACCUGGGAACUGCAUUUGUGACUGCAUCGCUGGAGUGCGGCAGAGGGGGAUGGAAUUCCGCGUGUAGCAGUGAAAUGCGUAGAUAUGCGGAGGAACACCGAUGGCGAAGGCAAUCCCCUGGGCCUGCACUGACGCUCAUGCACGAAAGCGUGGGGAGCAAACAGG
Molecule: ribosomal RNA, 253 nt
Filed under: uncultured bacterium
Lineage: Bacteria
Description: partial 16S ribosomal RNA
Rfam family: Bacterial small subunit ribosomal RNA
Source: RNAcentral